RNAcentral lists this ribosomal RNA (409 nucleotides) under uncultured bacterium. Its description in RNAcentral is "partial 16S ribosomal RNA". It matches the Rfam family "Bacterial small subunit ribosomal RNA", at positions 355 to 781 of the family's 1533-position model. The record is from RNAcentral.
UGGGGAAUAUUGGACAAUGGGGGCAACCCUGAUCCAGCAAUGCCGCGUGUGUGAAGAAGGUUUUCGGAUUGUAAAGCACUUUCGACGGGGACGAUGAUGACGGUACCCGUAGAAGAAGCCCCGGCUAACUUCGUGCCAGCAGCCGCGGUAAUACGAAGGGGGCUAGCGUUGCUCGGAAUGACUGGGCGUAAAGGGCGUGUAGGCGGUUUGUACAGUCAGAUGUGAAAUCCCCGGGCUUAACCUGGGAGCUGCAUUUGAUACGUGCAGACUAGAGUGUGAGAGAGGGUUGUGGAAUUCCCAGUGUAGAGGUGAAAUUCGUAGAUAUUGGGAAGAACACCGGUGGCGAAGGCGGCAACCUGGCUCAUAACUGACGCUGAGGCGCGAAAGCGUGGGGAGCAAACAGGAUUAG